ACGGGAGGCAGCAGUAGGGAAUAUUGGACAAUGGGGGCAACCCUGAUCUAGCGACGCCGCGUGAGUGAAGAAAUAUUUCGGUAUGUAAAGCUCUAUCAGCAGGGAAGAAAAUGACGGUACUUGACUAAGAAGCCCCGGCUAACUACGUGCCAGCAGCCGCGGUAAUACGUAGGGGGCAAGCGUUAUCCGGAUUUACUGGGUGUAAAGGGAGCGUAGACGGCAUAGCAAGUCUGAAGUGAAAUGCAUGGGCUCAACCCAUGAACUGCUUUGGAAACUGUUAAGCUAGAGUGCAGGAGAGGUAAGUGGAAUUCCUAGUGUAGCGGUGAAAUGCGUAGAUAUUAGGAGGAACACCAGUGGCGAAGGCGGCUUACUGGACUGUAACUGACAUUGAGGCUCGAAAGCGUGGGGAGCAAACAGGAUUAGAUACCCUGGUA
Molecule: ribosomal RNA, 434 nt
Filed under: uncultured Clostridium sp.
Lineage: Bacteria; Bacillati; Bacillota; Clostridia; Eubacteriales; Clostridiaceae
Description: partial 16S ribosomal RNA
Rfam family: Bacterial small subunit ribosomal RNA
Source: RNAcentral